CUUAUUUUUGACUCCGCCCCCAAACCCUCUCUUCUUUUCUCUUUUAGUUGUCCGGAAGUGUUACGCCUUUAAUGAAAAGCUUUGUGAGUGUAUCCUUUGCAAGUAACAAGUUAUUUGACACCUUUCUGUGUUUAUUUCUUUAGCAACUUGCCAAAGAUAUAUUGGAUAGAAGAUAGAAGACAUUCCUGACAGUUCAAAUCUUUCUGCUAUGUGUUUCUAAACUCUUGAAGUCUUCACCUGUGGAUUAAGUGGAACACUGCAGUUGAAUUUGUUGUGUAGAAUCACUACAGAUAAGAUUCAUGACCAAAUUUGCUUCAUUUUUUAAUACUCCCUGCUACAUGACUUUCCGGUGACAAAAGUGAGAAAAAAUGAGUGAGCCAGAUCGUAAAAGGAGAAAGUACCGGACUGAACAUAAUGCAAAUCCUGGACCUGGACCACCUGUGCUUGGUGAGAUGAACUGUGAUGAUGCUACUCAUGAGCAGUUGGAUGAACAAAAUGAGUGGAAACGAUUCAAUCUUAGUGUUGAAAACCUCAAUGACUGUUUGGUUACUCGGUGUGUUUGCCCCUGGAAUUUUGAUGACUAUCAAAACAUUGUCAUUUGCUCAGGAAACAAGUGCUCUGAAAUAGAUAACCAAAGUGAAAUACUCCUCUUUUGCUCUAUAAUCCAACUAUUAUGUGAAGAAAUUGCUAGACAGAAUAAUGCUAUCACAAGAAGCGGUAGAUUUUGCCUAACUCUCAAGAGAUUGAGAGUUCUCCUAUUUCACCUCAAUAGUGUUUCCGAUCCCACAUGUCUUCUUCAAUGUUUUCUGCGCUCUUCAAACCAAUUUAUAAGUUUUGCAGCUGCCAGAUCCUUGUCAGCUUGGCUAAAAGCAGCUGACGAAGGGGCAUGUAAAGUCCUUUUGGAUCGUCUACUUGAUAAUAUAAUCAGUCCUUUAGCCACCUCGCUGAGCACCCUCAACACUUCCGGGGCACACGGCCCUCUACCUCACACUGUGUCCAAUUUACUAGAUAUUUUAAAAAGUUGUAUUGAAGCGCCAGAUGUUGAACCUCAUCCUACUGAAGGUGCUACUGAAGAUGAGAGCGAAGAUGCUUCCUUUGAGUCCAACGAACGAACAAUGAGUGUUAAGUUCAUUUGUCAUGGAUUGCUGAACAUGGAAGAAGCUUCUGAAGACUCAUUGGGAGCCGAUCAAGUCGACCUAGAUUGCCCGGAUUCAGAAUCAAAGGAUUUAAAGGGCAGCGUUAUUCGUGCUCUGGGCAAACACUGGAAUGUUAUUGUGACCUAUUUUCAUGCAGCUUUAACUCUUGCGCAGUCUGCUACCAGUUUACAUUCCGAAGAUAUUUUUCCUUUGGUUUCCUUUUUAUCGCUGUGGCAGUCGACAAUAUCCGUUAAAGCCAAUGUAUCCGUAUUGGACUCGAAGCCGUUCUAUUCGCGAAUGGAAGCACUAUUGCCGAUCAUGACGCCUUCACUAGACCCUAUCAUCUGGCGGGAAAUGAUAAAUCUUUUCAAUGAAGUUCUCUGCUACGGUUCCACACUUGCCCUUCAGGAUUUUUUGCCAGACGAGCCUUGCAAUCUGGCGCACUUGGUUAUCCGUCAUGUACGAGUUGAGAGAUUACUGGAUCGAGCCCCUUUCCAAUCAGGACAGAAUUGUACAUCUAGCCGAUCUUUGAUGCAAAAGCUCGUACUUUUGGUUCUUAAAGCCGUUGCUGUUACUGUGAAGGAAACAAGAUCUGAGAGUUCAAGCCUUGAAUCUGAAUCGAAUUCAGAGUCAGGUCAUUCUGACCCUCUACGCUCCGAGGAUUCGGAAGACCUACAUGCCGACAUGACUGUAAUCCUUCGCAGCAUCAAACAAGUAUUUCGCAUCGUGGAUGUCAGAAUCAAAACCUGGCUGCCUUUCCACCCUGAAACGACGUUAAGCGAAUGGAUGGUGAAAAUGUUUCACGAUCAAGACGAUUCCCUUAUUGAAACAAUGUUAUGCAGUUUAGAUAUUAACAACGGCUUGUAUAGCAAUUGUCGUGGGCUUAAUGCUACGUCUAACUCUCUUCAAACAGGAUUAUCGGAUUUGAAAGGGACGCUCAAUCCUGUGCAGACAUGGUUGAAAUUCUUGGAAACUGUAGCAUACGAUACGGACGUUUUGUUGGAUUUACUGGUCUCCAACGAAACGUGCUUUCUAUUAUACCUCUUGCGUCUUCUUAAGUUCAUUCGUAGGAACUGGGAAGAUUUUCUUUCAGUUUUAACCCAUCGUCAACUAGAAGAUGUCAUGACCUGUUUCAUUCGUUUGCGGAUAGCCAUCCGUCGAUUAGUUGCCAAGAAUCUUUUCCCUUACAACAUUGGACCAAUUGUGAAAUUACUUGAAAAAUGUGAAGAGCUCUACGAAGGAAAAGAAAACUAGUGCGACAACAAACUUUUUACAAACCUGAAGUGUUACUACAUACGAAGAGAUGAGCAGAUUGCUAGGAUUCCUGGCUACUUCGCCUUGUUUUAUUGAGUGGCAGGGAAUUACAUGGGCUGCUUUAUACACACAUGUUGUUCCGUGUAUGGUUGUUGUUAAACCAUAUGGUAUUCAUCUUUGAAAUACGUUGUAUUCUCCUUAAUUUUGUCAUUUGUAAAUAGAAAGUGGUUUUCGAAAGCUACUAACAGAAACUGUUCUGGUUUCCACCCUUCACUAUGGAUUUUCCGAGAAUUUUUUAUUUAAAAAUACAAUUCUAAAUUUAAUUUUAA
Molecule: unclassified non-coding RNA, 2719 nt
Filed under: Daphnia magna
Lineage: Eukaryota; Metazoa; Arthropoda; Branchiopoda; Diplostraca; Daphniidae
Description: protein lines, transcript variant X1
Source: RNAcentral